UGGGGGAUAUUGCACAAUGGGCGAAAGCCUGAUGCAGCGACGCCGCGUGGGGGAUGAAGGCCUUCGGGUUGUAAACUUCUUUUGCUCUGAACAAGGCGCACCAUGGGGUGUGUUGAGUGUAGGGGUUGAUUAGCGCCGGCUAACUACGUGCCAGCAGCCGCGGUAAUACGUAGGGCGCGAGCGUUGUCCGGAAUUAUUGGGCGUAAAGGGCUUGUAGGUGGCUGGUUGCGUCUGUCGUGAAAGCUCAUGGCUUAACUGUGGGUUUGCGGUGGGUACGGGCUGGCUUGAGUGCAGUAGGGGAGGCUGGAAUUCCUGGUGUAGCGGUGGGAUGCGCAGAUAUCAGGAGGAAUACCGGUGGCGAAGGCGGGUCUCUGGGCUGUUACUGACACUGAGGAGCGAAAGCAUGGGGAGCGAACAGG
Molecule: ribosomal RNA, 419 nt
Filed under: bacterium
Lineage: Bacteria
Description: partial 16S ribosomal RNA
Rfam family: Bacterial small subunit ribosomal RNA
Source: RNAcentral